GCAACUAUAAGAAAUAACCUUAUUUUCUUUAUGAAUUACCCAGUCUCAGUAAUUCUGUUAUAGCAACAGAAAACAGCCCAAGACAGAAUUUCAAUUCCCUGGAGGCUGGUUUUUGUCUAUGGAGAAAAGCUAUAUUUGUCUAUGGAAAAAGCUAAGCUCCAUGAAGAUUCCAAAAGUCAGCUGAAGAGUCUUAGUGAAUGGAGAAGAGUCACUGAAGAACAAUUCAGUGGGAAUGAGGAACUCAAGCUAGGGUACCAGGAAAGAUCGUGUUGUGGUCUGGACCUUUAGUGUCCUCCAAAGGCCCAGUCUGGGGUGCUAUUGGGAGGUGAUGGAAUCCUUAGGAGGUGGGGCCUAAUGGGAGGCAGUUAGGUCAUUGAGGGCAUGCUCUCAAAGGUCUGUUGGGACCUCAGCUCCUCUCUCUCGUUCUUUCUUUCUCAGCUGCCACAAGGUGAGCUUCACUGCUCCACCAUGUACUCCCCACCCACCCUGAUGUUUGGCCUUGCCACAGGUCCAGUGUGAUGGGGCCAAGUGACUAUGGAUUAAGACCUCUGAAACCAUCAAAUAAAACUCUCCUCUUUGUAA
This is a non-coding RNA of Marmota flaviventris (yellow-bellied marmot), 582 nucleotides long. The record is from RefSeq and is a predicted model, not a curated record. NCBI's taxonomy places the organism in Eukaryota, Metazoa, Chordata, Mammalia, Rodentia, Sciuridae.